Molecule: ribosomal RNA, 273 nt
Filed under: uncultured Oscillospiraceae bacterium
Lineage: Bacteria; Bacillati; Bacillota; Clostridia; Eubacteriales; Oscillospiraceae
Description: partial 16S ribosomal RNA
Rfam family: Bacterial small subunit ribosomal RNA
Source: RNAcentral
UUAGUUGCCAGCAAGUAGCGUUUGGGCACUCUAGCCAGACUGCCGGUGAUAAAUCGGAGGAAGGUGGGGACGACGUCAAAUCAUCAUGCCCUUUAUGUCCUGGGCUACACACGUACUACAAUGGCCGUUACAACGGGAAGCGAAGGAGCAAUCCGGAGCAAAUCCCUUAAAGGCGGUCCCAGUUCAGAUUGUGGGCUGAAACUCGCCCACAUGAAGGCGGAAUUGCUAGUAAUUGCAGAUCAGCAUGCUGCAGUGAAUACGUUCCCGGGCCUU